This 636-nucleotide long non-coding RNA is filed under the name Capsicum annuum. RNAcentral describes it as "long non-coding RNA (CANN_LNC019765)". Lineage: Eukaryota; Viridiplantae; Streptophyta; Magnoliopsida; Solanales; Solanaceae. The record is from RNAcentral.
UUACUCCAUUAUGGAGAAAUUAAUAAAGAAAAAAAAUAUUACUCUACAAAAGAAAAAGAAAGAAAGAAAAAGUAAACAAGACUAAUUCUUAUAUAUUGCUUAUGUUGUUGGAUGCUUAACAAUCACAAAAAAUGCCUCUAUUUAUAGAAAAUUAUAAUGUUGAACCAAUGAAUGCAUUCUUUGAAGUGGUCGUCAUGACGGUCAAUUGUAACUCUUCUCAAAACGCUCACUUGUUUCAUUUCUUCAUUUGACGGGUGUGAGAAGCUUUUGAAGUGGUCGUUGUGACUGUCAACUUGUAACUCUUCUCAAAACGCUCACUUGUUUCAUUCCUUCAUUUGAUGGCUGUGAGUAUAAAAUUGUGGUUACACCCGUGGAAUUCUCUUAUUCUUUGAUAAUUUAUUUCUUCUCUUGUAUUCUUCUUCCUGUAGAAUUUGUCAGAAAAUAUACAAUAAUAUGAUAUAUUUAUUUAUAUUUAUUUAAAAUAAUUAAUAUUUAAUAUAUAAAAAUAUAUAAAUAAAUAUAUACAUCAAAUACCCCCACACCUGAAUCUUUAUUCGUCCUCGAGCAAAGGACAAAACAAAACAACUAAAAUUUUAAGUAAUGAAAUUAUUAGAUAGAAUAAAAUUCAAUAAAGAC